AACGAACGCUGGCGGCAGGCCUAACACAUGCAAGUCGAGCGCCCCGCAAGGGGAGCGGCGGUCGGGUGAGUAACGCGUGGGAACGUGCCUCUUGCUACGGAAUAGCCUCGGGAAACUGGGAGUAAUACCGUAUGUGCCCUACGGGGGAAAGAUUUAUCGGCAAGAGAUCGGCCCGCGUUGGAUUAGGUAGUUGGUGGGGUAAUGGCCUACCAAGCCGACGAUCCAUAGCUGGUUUGAGAGGAUGAUCAGCCACACUGGGACUGAGACACGGCCCAGACUCCUACGGGAGGCAGCAGUGGGGAAUCUUAGACAAUGGGCGCAAGCCUGAUCUAGCCAUGCCGCGUGAGCGAUGAAGGCCUUAGGGUUGUAAAGCUCUUUCAGUGGGGAAGAUAAUGACUGUACCCACAGAAGAAGCCCCGGCUAACUCCGUGCCAGCAGCCGCGGUAAAGUACAGUGU
This 457-nucleotide ribosomal RNA is filed under the name uncultured bacterium. RNAcentral's name for it is "bacterial SSU rRNA". It matches the Rfam family "Bacterial small subunit ribosomal RNA", at positions 29 to 533 of the family's 1533-position model. The record is from RNAcentral.